GAGUUUGAUCCUGGCUCAGAUUGAACGCUGGCGGAAUGCUUUACACAUGCAAGUCGAACGGCAGCACGGGUGCUUGCACCUGGUGGCGAGUGGCGAACGGGUGAGUAAUGCGUCGGAACGUAUCCAAUAAUGGGGGAUAACGCAGCGAAAGCUGUGCUAAUACCGCAUACGCCCUGAGGGGGAAAGCAGGGGAUCUUCGGACCUUGCGUUAAUGGAGCGGCCGACGUCUGAUUAGCUAGUUGGUGGGGUAAUGGCCUACCAAGGCGACGAUCAGUAGCGGGUCUGAGAGGAUGAUCCGCCACACUGGAACUGAGACACGGUCCAGACUCCUACGGGAGGCAGCAGUGGGGAAUUUUGGACAAUGGGCGCAAGCCUGAUCCAGCCAUUCCGCGUGAGUGAAGAAGGCCUUCGGGUUGUAAAGCUCUUUCGGCAGGGAAGAAACAGUUGAGGCUAAUAUCCUUGACCAAUGACGGUACCUGCAGAAGAAGCACCGGCUAACUACGUGCCAGCAGCCGCGGUAAUACGUAGGGUGCGAGCGUUAAUCGGAAUUACUGGGCGUAAAGCGUGCGCAGGCGGUUUUUCAAGUCUGAUGUGAAAUCCCCGGGCUUAACCUGGGAACUGCGUUGGAAACUGAAAGACUAGAGUGCGGCAGAGGGGGGUAGAAUUCCACGUGUAGCAGUGAAAUGCGUAGAUAUGUGGAGGAAUACCGAUGGCGAAGGCAGCCCCCUGGGUCGACACUGACGCUCAUGCACGAAAGCGUGGGUAGCAAACAGGAUUAGAUACCCUGGUAGUCG
This 794-nucleotide ribosomal RNA is filed under the name uncultured bacterium. Its description in RNAcentral is "bacterial SSU rRNA". It matches the Rfam family "Bacterial small subunit ribosomal RNA", at positions 9 to 796 of the family's 1533-position model. The record is from RNAcentral.